This 816-nucleotide ribosomal RNA is filed under the name Triticum aestivum (bread wheat). RNAcentral's name for it is "partial small subunit ribosomal RNA". The record is from RNAcentral. Lineage: Eukaryota; Viridiplantae; Streptophyta; Magnoliopsida; Poales; Poaceae.
AUGGAAGAGAUUAGAGCCUUGAUCAAGUCUUCUUCCCCUUCAUCAUCUUCAAGGCGGCGACAUUCAAGCCACAAGUCUUCGGAGCACGGCCUCGACGCAAGUGCAAAUCAUCCUCGUCCACAUCUACAUGGCGACCACCAUCACGCUCGUGAUCAACAUCGUCAUGAAGGGCAAGUCACCUCCAAGCAUCAUGUGCACGACGACGAUGAACGACAUCUACUACGAGCUCAAGCACGACAACGACAUAGUCAUCAUGAAUAUGCUCCACAAGCGCAAGCGCACAAGUCCCAACAAGCCCUACUUCACGCCAAGUCGAAGCUUCAUAAGCACAAGAGAAGACCACGAGACGAGCACCACCAAGACGGCGCUACGGCUACACCAACCACUUUGGCAUCUUCACCAAGUGGUAUCGAGGCAUCUUCGCCUUUGGACGUACGACAUCUUCGCCUACUUCCCACGAGUACGCCUACAACGACUUCAUCAAGUCCAAGGCGACCACCUAUUAGCGAGGGUAAUGAGGACAUCAAUACCAUUGUUACACCCACAGCCCCUACUGCUACAUAUACGGGACCAAUUACUAGAGCUCGCGCACGCCAAUUAAAUUAUCAGGUACUUCCGUUUCUUGGUAAUGAUUCUAAUGUUCAUGAGAAUAUGAUGCUGCCUAAAUUGGAUACAUUUGUUUUGCUUACAAAUGAAGGGCCUAGCUUGGAGAAGGAUGAACAUUGGAGCAAGAACAAGCAUGGAGAUGAUGCCAUGCGCAAGGGGAACAAGAACGGAGUUACAAGUGAUGAUUUCAGGACUUUGAAGCCACCAUAA